This 680-nucleotide ribosomal RNA is filed under the name uncultured bacterium. RNAcentral describes it as "bacterial SSU rRNA". It matches the Rfam family "Bacterial small subunit ribosomal RNA", at positions 107 to 786 of the family's 1533-position model. RNAcentral also lists the same sequence under 1 other name. The record is from RNAcentral.
UGCGUAACACGUGAGCGACUUGCCCGAUACAGGGAGAUAACCGGUGGAAACGCCGACUAAUAUCCCAUACGACUUGAGGCUGCAUGGCCUUGAGUUGAAAGGUUCGCCGGUAUCGGAUAGGCUCGCGGGACAUUAGCUUGAUGGCGGGGCAACGGCCCACCAUGGCGACGAUGUCUAGGGGUUCUGAGAGGAAGACCCCCCACACUGGGACUGAGACACGGCCCAGACUCCUACGGGAGGCAGCAGUGAGGAAUAUUGGUCAAUGGGCGGAAGCCUGAACCAGCCAUGCCGCGUGAAGGACUAAGGCCCUAUGGGUCGUAAACUUCUUUAGACGCAGAGCAAUAAGGGCCUCGUGAGGUCCGAUGAGAGUAUGCGUAGAAUAAGCAUCGGCUAACUCCGUGCCAGCAGCCGCGGUAAUACGGGGGAUGCGAGCGUUAUCCGGAUUUAUUGGGUUUAAAGGGUGCGUAGGCGGCGAAUUAAGUCAGCGGUGAAAGACCGGGGCUCAACCCUGGAAGUGCCGUUGAUACUGAUUGGCUAGAAUACCCUUGCCGUGGGAGGAAUGAGUGGUGUAGCGGUGAAAUGCAUAGAUAUCACUCAGAACACCGAUUGCGAAGGCAUCUCACGAAGGGGCGAUUGACGCUGAGGCACGAAAGCGUGGGGAUCGAACAGGAUUAGAUACC